RNAcentral lists this long non-coding RNA (499 nucleotides) under Hordeum vulgare. Its description in RNAcentral is "long non-coding RNA (HVUL_LNC014181)". Lineage: Eukaryota; Viridiplantae; Streptophyta; Magnoliopsida; Poales; Poaceae. The record is from RNAcentral.
UUGGUUCUUCACUGACGCCGGAGUUCGAUUUCUGUUGCGUAAUUGUGUUGCAGGUGCAGCCGGUGAUGCGCAGAUCGGCAACGCGCGGGACGGGCCUCCGCAGCAGGCGCAGGGUCAGCCUGGGCAGCAGGCUUCUUCAGAGCCUGACAAUCCCAGCCCACCACCGCCAUCGGCAGGGCAGAUCUAGCUCGAUCAUCUCACCGCUGUGUUUUCUGCUUCGCUCUGUUUUGGCAGAACAGAAUGAUUCCUGUGAUGUGAUGUGGCCAAAUGUGGCAGAACAGAUCCAUGAAACUAUAGUUCUCUGAAAUUAGUAGAUGACACUUUAGUUUUCGAUGAACAGAUCAAUGAAACUAUAGUUCUCUGAAAUUAGUAGAUGACACUUUAGUUCUGGAUGAACAGAUCGAUGCAAUGCAACUAUAUUCCUGUGACGUGGCCAAAUGUGCGCUGCCUGAUUUGUUAAUCUUUGGUUCUUAUAUGUUCACUACUGUUCCACUUUCAG